UACGUAGGGGGCAAGCGUUGUCCGGAAUCAUUGGGCGUAAAGAGCGUGUAGGCGGCCAGAAAAGUCCGCUGUGAAAUCUCGAGGCUCAACUUCGAGCUGUCGGUGGAAACUUUCUGGCUAGAGUCCGGAAGAGGAGAAUGGAAUUCCUGGUGUAGCGGUGAAAUGCGCAGAUAUCAGGAAGAACACCAGUGGCGAAGGCGGUUCUCUGGGCCGGUACUGACGCUGAGGCGCGAAAGCGUGGGGAGCAAACAGG
RNAcentral lists this ribosomal RNA (253 nucleotides) under uncultured bacterium. RNAcentral describes it as "partial 16S ribosomal RNA". It matches the Rfam family "Bacterial small subunit ribosomal RNA", at positions 524 to 776 of the family's 1533-position model. The record is from RNAcentral.